AGAGUUUGAUCAUGGCUCAGGAUGAACGCUAGCUACAGGCUUAACACAUGCAAGUCGAGCGGUAUGUGCUUUAGUGCAUACAGCGGCAGACGGGUGAGUAACACGUAUCUAACCUUCCCCUUACUUGGGCAUAGCCUCUGGAAACGGAGAUUAAUUUCCGAUGUGGUGUACAUUUCGCAUGUUUUGCGCACCAAAGAUUUAUCGGUAAGGGAUGGGGAUGCGCUCCAUUAGGUUGUAGGUAGGGUAAUGGCCUACCUAGCCUAUGAUGGAUAGGGGUUCUGAGAGGAAGGUCCCCCACAUUGGAACUGCGACACGGUCCAAACUCCUACGGGAGGCAGCAGUGAGGAAUAUUGGUCAAUGGCCGGAAGGCUGAACCAGCCAAGUAGCGUGCAGGAUGACUGCCUUAUGGGUUGUAAACUGCUUUUUUACGGGAAUAAUUAUGAUCACGUGUGAUUAUUUGCAUGUACCGUAAGAAUAAGGAUCGGCUAACUCCGUGCCAGCAGCCGCGGUAAUACGGAGGAUCCUAGUGUUAUCCGGAUUUAUUGGGUUUAAAGGGAGCGUAGGCGGGAGGUCAAGUCAGCUGUGAAAUGUAUCUGCUUAACGGGUACACUGCAGUUGAAACUGGUUUUCUUGAGUGCGUAAGAGGCAGGCGGAAUUCGUUGUGUAGCGGUGAAAUGCUUAGAUAUGACGAGGAACUCCUAUUGCGAAGGCAGCUUGCUGGGUCGUUACUGACGCUGAUGCUCGAAGGUGCGGGGAUCAAACAGGAUUAGAUACCCUGGUAGUCCGCACAGUAAACUAUGGAUACUCUCUGCCGGCGAUACAU
This 823-nucleotide ribosomal RNA is filed under the name uncultured bacterium. RNAcentral describes it as "bacterial SSU rRNA". It matches the Rfam family "Bacterial small subunit ribosomal RNA", at positions 8 to 834 of the family's 1533-position model. The record is from RNAcentral.